UGGGGAAUAUUGGACAAUGGGGGGAACCCUGAUCCAGCCAUGCCGCGUGUGUGAAGAAGGUCUUCGGAUUGUAAAGCACUUUAAGUUGGGAGGAAGGGCAGUAAGCGAAUACCUUGCUGUUUUGACGUUACCGACAGAAUAAGCACCGGCUAACUCUGUGCCAGCAGCCGCGGUAAUACAGAGGGUGCAAGCGUUAAUCGGAAUUACUGGGCGUAAAGCGCGCGUAGGUGGUUCGUUAAGUUGAAUGUGAAAGCCCCGGGCUCAACCUGGGAACUGCAUCCAAAACUGGCGGGCUAGAGUAGGGCAGAGGGUGGUGGAAUUUCCUGUGUAGCGGUGAAAUGCGUAGAUAUAGGAAGGAACACCAGUGGCGAAGGCGACCACCUGGGCUCAUACUGACACUGAGGUGCGAAAGCGUGGGGAGCAAACAGG
Molecule: ribosomal RNA, 429 nt
Filed under: Pseudomonadota bacterium
Lineage: Bacteria; Pseudomonadati; Pseudomonadota
Description: Proteobacteria bacterium partial 16S ribosomal RNA
Rfam family: Bacterial small subunit ribosomal RNA
Source: RNAcentral